CCCUUAGAUGUUCUGGGCUGCACGCGCGCUACACUGAAGCGUUCAACGAGUAUUCACCUUGCCCGGGAGGGUUGGGUAAUCUUUUCAAAACGCUUCGUGAUGGGGAUAGAUUAUUGCAAUUAUUAAUCUUCAACGAGGAAUUCCUAGUAAGCGCGAGUCAUCAGCUCGUGCUGAUUACGUCCCUGCCCUUUGUACACACCGCCCGUCGCUCCUACCGAUUGAAUGGUCCGGUGAAGUCUCCGGACUGAGUACUUUUAGUACUUGGGAAGUUGACUAAACCUUACUAUUUAGAGGAAGGUGAAGUCGUAACA
RNAcentral lists this ribosomal RNA (311 nucleotides) under uncultured eukaryote. RNAcentral's name for it is "partial 18S ribosomal RNA". It matches the Rfam family "Eukaryotic small subunit ribosomal RNA", at positions 1470 to 1796 of the family's 1831-position model. The record is from RNAcentral.